UCUCCACCUCGGGCACUGGCCCAUGUCACCUUUAAGGCCACAAGGCCUAUUCCAGCUCAACAUGUGGACAGCUAUGCAGAUGACAAACAGAGAGCUAAGGUUCUUUUCAGGAUUGAUGACGUGGAAAAAGACAGAAAACGUACCCAUUUAAAAAGAGUGCCUUAAUUUGCUGUGGAGUUUAAAACUGGGAACCUGUUUUCCUAGACAUGCAACAGCCCUCUAGCCUUGCUGACGAAUUCAUGACUGAUCUCCCUGGGCAGCUCUGGCCCUCCAUGUUGUCUUGACUUUAGGACUGACACCCUCCAUGUAAUCUUAAUUCAUUUUUAGUCUAGGCUGACUAAAUCUUUCUCAUUUGGCAAAGUAGAAUGUCAGGAUUGCCAUUGUUAUAUUUGCUCUGGAUUUAUAUCUUAGGUUGAGGUUAAGUAACACAUUGACAUAAAUCAGCUCAGCUCUAGAUUCUGAUAUGAAAUUGUUUUACUGAGGAAAAGAAAAACUAAUUGUGUUGCUUCCUGAGAUUUGCUUUCAUUUUAUAUUAAACCUCAAAGGAUUUAUAAAUUUAAUGUCUUCUGUGUUAAAAUUAACUCUUCUGUGGGUUUUGCUUCUAUAAAACAGAAUGAAAAAAAAUUAUUUGUAAGAACUGGUUAUAGCUGUUGCUGCAAGGGGAUAACUCUCCUAGAGGUAGAAUAUAAAAUGUAUUGAGGCUGAUGUCAUUUAACAAAAUGGUAAUAUGCUUUUAGAGAAGGAGUCAUGUUUUCUGAUGGGCAGCACAAGGUUGCCGAAAUAAUAUUAAACAGUUUUUUACAGUAAUAAAGAUAUUGCAGAAAGGUGAAGAGGCUUUAGAUUUUUUACUUGCAAAGAUUUAAGUACUUCUUAUUGUGAUUCAUGUAAAUAUCUUCAAAAUUUUAUUUCUUUUCAAAUAAUAGCAAAGAAAAAAUAUCAUAGCUGUAUUGGAUGGGUCAUCAUCGGUUAAUUCAUGUUCUUUUUAAAAGUACUUUUUGGAGCUCAUGUCAUGGCUCAGCAGUUAAUGAACCUGACCAGUAUCCAUGAGGUUUCAGGUUCAAUCCCUGGCCUUGCUCAGUGCAUUAAGGAUCUGGCAUUGCUGUAAGCUGUGGUGUAGGUGCAGAACCGACUUGGAUCUGGUGUUGCUAUGGCUGUGGUGUAGACCAGCGGCUGCAGCUCCAAUUCAACCCCUAGCCAAGGAACUUCCAUAUGCCACAGGUGUGACCCUAAACAUAAAUAAAUGAACAAAUAAAACUGCUUUUUCAUUUAUUGACCUCAUCCACAGCAUGUGGAAGUUCCUGGGCUAGGAAUCAAACCCACACCACAGCAGUUUGUGGAUAUUUUAAAAUAAAUGUUACCGUAAAUAUCAAAAAAUGUAUGGAAUAAGAGAUUGCUAGCUGUUUGUUUGCUGAAAAAAU
Molecule: long non-coding RNA, 1418 nt
Filed under: Sus scrofa (pig)
Lineage: Eukaryota; Metazoa; Chordata; Mammalia; Artiodactyla; Suidae
Description: lncRNA (ENSSSCG00045017390.1)
Source: RNAcentral